This 146-nucleotide transfer RNA is filed under the name Aspergillus novoparasiticus. RNAcentral describes it as "tRNA-Tyr". The record is from RNAcentral. Lineage: Eukaryota; Fungi; Ascomycota; Eurotiomycetes; Eurotiales; Aspergillaceae.
GCCCGGAUGGUCUAGUGGUAUGAUUCUCGCUUGUAAGCUACCCUCAUUAACUGUUCCAUCAACGUCUUAAAUACUAAUAAUUCUUCCAGUGGGCUACAAUAGUACCAAUCUGCGAGAGGCCCCGCGUUCGAACCGCGGUUCGGGCC